Molecule: long non-coding RNA, 95 nt
Organism: Thalassophryne amazonica
Lineage: Eukaryota; Metazoa; Chordata; Actinopteri; Batrachoidiformes; Batrachoididae
Exons: 3
Source: RefSeq, a predicted model, not a curated record
AGUUACUCAGUUAUGUGCAAUAUUGGCGAACAUCUUGUGAAAAUGUCUUCAGUCAUUUCGCAUAAAUUUGUCAUACCUAUUCUUUAAUAAAACAC